GAUGAACGCUGGCGGCGUGCCUAAUACAUGCAAGUCGAGCGAACGGACGAGAAGCUUGCUUCUCUGAUGUUAGCGGCGGACGGGUGAGUAACACGUGGAUAACCUACCUAUAAGACUGGGAUAACUUCGGGAAACCGGAGCUAAUACCGGAUAAUAUUUUGAACCGCAUGGUUCAAAAGUGAAAGACGGUCUUGCUGUCACUUAUAGAUGGAUCCGCGCUGCAUUAGCUAGUUUGUAAGGUAACGGCUUACCAAGGCAACGGUGCAUAGCCGACCUGAGAGGGUGAUCCGGCCAACUGGAACUGGGACACGGGCCCGACUCCUACGGGAGGGAAGAGGGGGGGAAAUUGCCCAAAGGGGGGAAGGCCGGACCGGCCAAGCCGCGGGGGGGAAGAAGGUCCUCGGAUUGGAAAAACCUUUUAGUUGGGAAAAAACAAAGGUAGAAAAAACCUUGCACAUUUGACGGGUCCCAAAUAAAAAGCCCCGGCUAAAUUCGUG
Molecule: ribosomal RNA, 497 nt
Filed under: uncultured bacterium
Lineage: Bacteria
Description: partial 16S ribosomal RNA
Rfam family: Bacterial small subunit ribosomal RNA
Source: RNAcentral